This 446-nucleotide ribosomal RNA is filed under the name uncultured bacterium. RNAcentral's name for it is "partial 16S ribosomal RNA". It matches the Rfam family "Bacterial small subunit ribosomal RNA", at positions 338 to 795 of the family's 1533-position model. The record is from RNAcentral.
CCUACGGGGGGCAGCAGUCGAGAAUCAUUCACAAUGGGGGAAACCCUGAUGGUGCGACGCCGCGUGGGGGAAUGAAGGUCUUCGGAUUGUAAACCCCUGUCAUGUGGGAGCAAAUUAAAAAGAUAGUACCACAAGAGGAAGAGACGGCUAACUCUGUGCCAGCAGCCGCGAUAAUACAGAGGUCUCAAGCGUUGUUCGGAAUCACUGGGCGGAAAGCGUGCGUAGGCUGUUUCGUAAGUCGUGUGUGAAAGGCGCGGGCUCAACCCGCGGACGGCACAUGAUACUGCGAGACUAGAGUAAUGGAGGGGGAACCGGAAUUCUCGGUGUAGCAGUGAAAUGCGUAGAUAUCGAGAGGAACACUCGUGGCGAAGGCGGGUUCCUGGACAUUAACUGACGCUGAGGCACGAAGGCCAGGGGAGCGAAAGGGAUUAGAUACCCGGGUAGUC